Limulus polyphemus (Atlantic horseshoe crab) is the source of this 1452-nucleotide long non-coding RNA. RefSeq lists it as uncharacterized. The record is from RefSeq and is a predicted model, not a curated record. NCBI's taxonomy places the organism in Eukaryota, Metazoa, Arthropoda, Merostomata, Xiphosura, Limulidae. The transcript is spliced from 4 exons.
UUGGUUGACGAUCCGAUUCAAAUCUGCGUUUUCCCUCACUCAAUAAACGUUGCCAGCUCGCUUUUCUGAACAAAAUAAAAAAAAAGAAAAAAUCUGUCAUUCGCCAAAGCUCGAAGGUUGUGUGACGGGUAUUUUGAAUAGUUUCGAGUUUAGCCCGCCUUCUGACAACGUAUUAGACGAAGGCAGAUGUUGAUGAUAGUGGAAGGGCAGCUGUGAUUCAUGUUGCCUCGACCAAACCCUGUUGAUGAGCAAAGGGGAAUUGUAUUUCACCCUUGGUUGUACCACCAUGACACAGAUUUAACUUACAGGUUUCAUUCCAGGAACGUUAAUAUACACUUCAAGCAGAUAUUAAAGUAUGAACCUGAGAGCAAAGAAAAUUUUGCAAGAUUUUUUAUAUAACAGUACUGAGCACUGGUGAAGGUGAAGGUUUGAAUGUGAUGUGGACUGAAUGUCUUCAGAACAGUACUGAUUUUGAGGCUGGACAUUUAGCACAUUCCGUAAAUGUGUAUGGACAUUCAUGCUAUGGCAGCCAACCCUUGGGACAUCCAUUAUAUUAAAAGUGUAAAGUAUUUUUCCUAUUCUAGACAACAUUUCCAAGUAGUAACUGUAAAACCUUGAUAUGUAGAUAAAAAAUAUAUAAAUGUAAAGGAAAGUAAAACAAAAAAUAAAUAGGCUUAAAUAUAACAACAACAUAAGACACAAAUGCCAUUAUAUGUUAGUACUAAUUUUAAAAAGUCCCCAUAAGAAGUUAAGUUCCACUAACAAUCCAACUAAGCCAAUGAUAAAAAUAUGAAGAUAUUAACAAAUCACCCAGAUCUUUCCUUAGAUGAACUAGAAUUAGGUUUAAGCUUUAUAUAUAAAUAUAUAGAUACAAGUUUUAUGGGCUUCUCUCUACAUCCAAUAUGGAUGCAAAGAAAGUUUUGUUGAACUGUUACAAAUGUAUAUCUGUACAUUUCAUAUGCCUUUAGAGUAGUCUGAACUUAACAAAGCUGUUAUUGGCUCCUGCAAAUAAAGAAUAAAUACCCGUUAUCACGAAUUUUGACAUUUCUUUCUUUCUGUUUUUAAAUAUGUUUCUUUUAUAUAUACAUAUAUAGGUAGCAAAGCAUAUCUAGAAGAGUGGGGACCUUAUGCUUUUAGACAACAAAUAGGCUUACCUUCAAAUGUUUAUAUUGUGUGAUAUUUAAUACAUAAAUACAAUGCGUGAUAAUUUUGCUUUUUAAAUGUACUUCAGUGAAUACAUGUGUAUGAUACCAUGUAUUUGUUGUGCAUGUUUAUAUGAUACCAUGUAUUUGUUGUGUAUGUUUAUAUCAUACCAUGUAUUUAUUGUGUUCGUUUCUAUUAUAACAUGAACUUAUUAUGUGUUUAUAUCACGUAUCAUACCAUGAAUCCAUUUUCUUAUAUUUGUUUGUCGUUGUUCAGUUUCUUUACAAUAUAAAUAUUAUUUAAGCGGCU